This is a long non-coding RNA of Sycon ciliatum, 181 nucleotides long. RefSeq lists it as uncharacterized. The transcript has 3 exons. The record is from RefSeq and is a predicted model, not a curated record. NCBI's taxonomy places the organism in Eukaryota, Metazoa, Porifera, Calcarea, Leucosolenida, Sycettidae.
CAUCCCGAUAACAAGUGGGUUGUUUGAAGGCGUUAGCAAUCUACGCAAUCUUGAUAUUAGCUUUACUGGCCACGCCAUCCUCAAACCCGGGACAUUUAAACGUCUAUCUGAGCUCCAGAAGCUGAACAUGAAUUACGUGAAUGUGGGAAACUACACAACAGACGUUCUUGCUGACCUAACA